Molecule: transfer RNA, 81 nt
Filed under: Ixodes scapularis (black-legged tick)
Lineage: Eukaryota; Metazoa; Arthropoda; Arachnida; Ixodida; Ixodidae
Rfam family: tRNA
About the family: Transfer RNA (tRNA) molecules are approximately 80 nucleotides in length. Their secondary structure includes four short double-helical elements and three loops (D, anti-codon, and T loops).
Source: Rfam by way of RNAcentral
GCAGUCGUGGCCAAUGGUUAAGGCAAUGGACUAGAAAUCCAUUGGAGUCUCCUCGCACAGGUUCGAAUCCUGUCGACUGCG